GAUCAUGGCUCAGGAUGAACGCUAGCGGCAGGCUUAACACAUGCAAGUCGGAGGGGCAGCAUAAUGGAUAGCAAUAUCUAUGGUGGCGACCGGCGCACGGGUGCGUAACGCGUAUGCAACCUACCUUUAACAGGGGAUAACACUGAGAAAAUUGGUACUAAUACCCCAUAAUAUCAUAGAAGGCAUCUUUUAUGGUUGAAAAUUCCGAUGGUUAGAGAUGGGCAUGCGGUUG
This 232-nucleotide ribosomal RNA is filed under the name uncultured bacterium. Its description in RNAcentral is "partial 16S ribosomal RNA". It matches the Rfam family "Bacterial small subunit ribosomal RNA", at positions 15 to 239 of the family's 1533-position model. The record is from RNAcentral.